UUUUGUGAUUUUAAAAGUUUUCGGAAACAAAUUCAAAAUUUUAUGCUCAUUAUAUUGGCACUAUUUUCGGAGUCUAAAAUCUUGCUUUGGCCAAAAUGCUUUGAAAUCGAUCUUCCAUACUGAACGUAGUGUCAAAGAGGUCAAAGACGUGGAAUUGAGUUUCAAUGACCAACGGAACAAAAGUAAGAAAAACAAGUAAGGAAAUUAUUGGAUCCAACAUUAUCAGUCUUAGUCAAUACAUGUUAGAAGUGACAGCUGAUGUCCCGUAAGAGGCGGAUAAGGGUUUUAUUACUAUAGAAUCUGGCACCAUGCGGGUAUUAAAAACACUGAUUACUAAUGAAAAAUCCAGUAUUACCCUUUGGUCUUGGAUAGUAGGUUCCCUUUAGUUAACUAUUCUAAGUUUAGAAGUUCCUUUCUAAUAAGAAGAAAAAUGAAUCAUGACGAAAUGCGGUCUCUAAAAAAGCAAGAAAAAGAGAACUAAGGAAUAAGGAAUAGGACAAGGAAAGUAUCAGAGUUAGAAUAUAAGGGCCCAGUCCGAUGUAUUUGAAUUCAGAACUACACCUUAAAUGGAAGAAAUGCGUCAUUCGGUGAAGGUAUCUUUCAGAUGAUCUAAUGAAGCACAGCGGUAAAGCUCUAUAAUAAAAGCUGUAUUAUCAGUUUUCAUUUCUGUGGGUUGUAAGCGAGAGCUGCUACAUAAUUUUGCUACAUAAUGCCAAUAAAAAUUGAUCGACCUCUGUAUAUAAGUUGGAUCAAAAGCACCUUGGUCAGCUUAUUACUGGAAGAGAACCAAAUGAACAAAAAUUAAACUGAAAUGUAGGAUGAUGUAGAGCUAAGCCUUAAUGCAACUACUACAGAUCAUGGUGACUGUUUUCUGAAGAAGAGACUUUUUAACGCGUUUGGUAAUCGAAAGCGUAUUUGGUUAUAUCGCUUUAUAGCUUAUCUAGACUACGCUAGAUGGAAAUAAUCUAUCGUUUUUCCUAAUUUAGAAGAAAAUGAAGAUCAAAAAGUCUUUUAACUGAGCAGAAGUGACGGAAAGGCUUUUAAAACAAUUGGAGGAUUCACUAGGAGUCCUCGAGUCCUCUCAAAUACAACAAAGUUUAUGUGAGCAGUAGACUAAUGAAUGUGGAAGAGUUAAAGUUGUGUAAAGACACUGGGACGUUCGGGUAUUCAUUGGAAGAUUCGAUUUCGUACACUUCUUUAUAAGUGUACAAAGCAUGGAAGCCGAAGGUAGUAAGCAUGAUUACUUCAUGUGGAUUGGGUUUUCAGUGAACUGACCCUGGUUUUUAACUAUAAUUUAAUUUAUUUAUUUAAAAUAAUAUUAGAAUAUAAGAAUUAUGCACAGUUAUAUAUAAUAUUUUGCAUGUUGUGGUAUGAAAGAAAAUUAAAAAAUAUAUUCAAUUAGUGUUUUUAAAGAUCAUAGGUAAUCCGUAGAGAGACAAAUAAAAUAAUAAACAAA
This is a long non-coding RNA of Teleopsis dalmanni, 1456 nucleotides long. RefSeq lists it as uncharacterized. Lineage: Eukaryota; Metazoa; Arthropoda; Insecta; Diptera; Diopsidae. The transcript is spliced from 6 exons. The record is from RefSeq and is a predicted model, not a curated record.